AAACAUCGCGGAAAAGCGAUUGGGCGGCGGCGCAAGGUGCGCGGUUACGUGGUGGAUGGCGCACGCUGCGCCGCAGCACGCGAAAACAAAAUCGGCGGUAGGUCGACCCCCCUUUAAAGCGGGGGUCGGCGAGGCGGCGCGGGGUUGGAGCAGUCGGCUGCGAAUAGUAGCAGGCCGAUGAGCGCGACAGCAGCCCCGCGCGACAGCACCCUAGAGGAAGUAAUGUAAAAAUUGGCGGCCACAACUGGCCUUGUGAA
Molecule: unclassified non-coding RNA, 257 nt
Filed under: uncultured fungus
Lineage: Eukaryota; Fungi
Description: sequence contains ITS1
Source: RNAcentral